This 410-nucleotide ribosomal RNA is filed under the name uncultured bacterium. RNAcentral's name for it is "bacterial SSU rRNA". It matches the Rfam family "Bacterial small subunit ribosomal RNA", at positions 82 to 487 of the family's 1533-position model. The record is from RNAcentral.
GGCCUGGUGGCGAGUGGCGAACGGGUGAGUAUACAUCGGAACGUACCCAGAAGUGGGGGAUAACGUAGCGAAAGUUACGCUUAAUACCGCAUACGUUCUACGGAAGAAAGUGGGGGAUCGCAAGACCUCAUGCUUUUGGAGCGGCCGAUGUCUGAUUAGCUAGUUGGUGAGGUAAAGGCUCACCAAGGCGACGAUCAGUAGCUGGUCUGAGAGGACGACCAGCCACACUGGAACUGAGACGCGGUCCAGACUCCUACGGGAGGCAGCAGUGGGGAAUUUUGGACAAUGGGCGCAAGCCUGAUCCAGCAAUGCCGCGUGAGUGAAGAAGGCCUUCGGGUUGUAAAGCUCUUUUGUGCAGGGAAGAAACGGCAGGGGCUAAUAUCCUUUGCUAAUGACGGUGCGUGAAGAAU